Molecule: ribosomal RNA, 300 nt
Filed under: uncultured Actinomycetes bacterium
Lineage: Bacteria; Bacillati; Actinomycetota; Actinomycetes
Description: bacterial SSU rRNA
Rfam family: Bacterial small subunit ribosomal RNA
Source: RNAcentral
UUCAGGAGGGAAGAAAUUGACGGUACCUCCAAAAGAAGCCCCGGCCAACUAAGUGCCAGCAGCCGCGGUAAUACUUAGGGGGCAAGCGUUAUCCGGAAUCAUUGGGCGUAAAGAGCUCGUAGGCGGUUCAGCAAGUCGGCUGUGAAAGUCCAAGGCUCAACCUUGUAAAUGCAGUCGAUACUGCUGUGACUAGAGUCUGGUAGAGGAGAAUGGAAUUCCCGGUGUAGCGGUGGAAUGCGCAGAUAUCGGGAGGAACACCAGUCCCGAAGGCGGUUCUCUGGGCCUCGACUGACGUUGAGG